This 63-nucleotide small nuclear RNA is filed under the name Equus asinus (donkey). The record is from RNAcentral. Lineage: Eukaryota; Metazoa; Chordata; Mammalia; Perissodactyla; Equidae.
AGCAGAUUAGCACGACCCCUGUGCAAGGAUGACAUGCAAAUUUGUGAAGCGUUCCAUAUUUUU